Molecule: ribosomal RNA, 1907 nt
Filed under: Leeuwenhoekiella nanhaiensis
Lineage: Bacteria; Pseudomonadati; Bacteroidota; Flavobacteriia; Flavobacteriales; Flavobacteriaceae
Description: bacterial LSU rRNA
Rfam family: Bacterial large subunit ribosomal RNA
Source: RNAcentral
GUACAAUAAGCUAAAUAAGGGCGUAUGGGGGAUGCCUAGGCUCUCAGAGGCGAUGAAGGACGUGAUAAGCUGCGAAAAGCUGCGGGGAUUGGCACAUACAAGUUGAUCCGCAGAUAUCCGAAUGGGGCAACCCACUUGAUUGAAGGUCAAGUAUCCGCAAGGAGGCAAACCCGGGGAACUGAAACAUCUAAGUACCCGGAGGAAGAGAAAACAAUAGUGAUUCCGAUAGUAGCGGCGAGCGAACUCGGAUUAGCCCAAACCGGUUCUGUUACGGCAGGCCCGGGGUUGUAGGACCACAACAUUUUAUGCAUAAUGAAUUAGAACACGUUGGAAAGCGUGGCCAUAGACGGUGAUAGCCCGGUAUAGGUAAAGAAUGUUAUAGAUAGUGGUAUCCUGAGUAGUGCGGGGCACGUGAAACCCUGUAUGAAUCUGGCGGGACCAUCCGCUAAGGCUAAAUACUCCUGAGAGACCGAUAGUGAACCAGUACCGUGAGGGAAAGGUGAAAAGAACCCUGAACAAGGGAGUGAAAUAGACCCUGAAACCAUACGCUUACAAGCGGUCGGAGCCCCUUUGGGGGUGACGGCGUGCCUUUUGCAUAAUGAGCCUACGAGUUACUUUAUCUAGCAAGGUUAAGAUGUUCAGCAUCGGAUCCGUAGCGAAAGCGAGUCUUAAUAGGGCGUUUAGUUAGGUUGAGUAGACGCGAAACCGUGUGAUCUACCCUUGGGCAGGUUGAAGCUGUGGUAACACAUAGUGGAGGACCGAACCCGUUGACGUUGAAAAGUCUUGGGAUGACCUGAGGGUAGGGGUGAAAGGCCAAUCAAACUCGGAAAUAGCUCGUACUCCCCGAAAUGCAUUUAGGUGCAGCGUUGAUUUAUAGUUUUAUAGAGGUAGAGCUACUGAUUGGAUGCGGGGGCUUCACCGCCUACCAAUUCCUGACAAACUCCGAAUGCUAUAAAAUGUUGAUCAGCAGUGAGGGCAUGGGUGCUAAGGUCCAUGUCCGAGAGGGAAAGAACCCAGACCAUCAGCUAAGGUCCCCAAAUGUAUGUUAAGUUGAAAAAACGCGGUUGGACUGCCCAGACAGCUAGGAUGUUGGCUUGGAAGCAGCCAUUCAUUUAAAGAGUGCGUAACAGCUCACUAGUCGAGCGGUCCGGCAUGGAUAAUAAUCGGGCAUAAACAUACUACCGAAGCUAUGGCAUCUUUAAGAUGGGUAGGGGAGCAUUGUAACAAAGUUGAAGAUGUACUGUGAGGUAUGUUGGAUUGGUUACAAAAGAAAAUGUAGGCAUAAGUAACGAUAAUGCGGGCGAGAAACCCGCACACCGAAAGACCAAGGUUUCCCCGGCCAUGCUAAUCAGCCGGGGGUCAGUCGGGACCUAACGCGAACCCGAAAGGGGUAGUGGAUGGACAACAGAUUAAUAUUUCUGUACCUGCUCACGUUAAAAGUGACGGAGGAUCAAGUUUGGUGCGUGCUGACGGAAUAGCACGUUGAAGCAACUGUUAAGGUUGUGAUAGUACACUACGGCUACGGCCACGGUGAUAAUCCAGAGGAGAUCCUUCCAAGAAAAGCGAGUGAAGCAGCCCGUACCGUAAACCGACACAGGUGGUUGGGAUGAGGAUUCUAAGGUGCUCGAGAGAUUCAUGGCUAAGGAACUAGGCAAAAUCGACCCGUAACUUCGGGAGAAGGGUCGCCCAUCUUCGGAUGGGCCGCAGUGAAGAGGUCCAGGCGACUGUUUAUCAAAAACACAGGGCUCUGCGAAAUCGAAAGAUGAAGUAUAGGGCCUGACACCUGCCCGGUGCCGGAAGGUUAAGAGGAGAUGUUAGCUUUACGCGAAGCAUUGAAUUGAAGCCCCGGUAAACGGCGGCCGUAACUAUAACGGUCCUAAGGUAGCGAAAUUCCUUGUCGGGUAAGU